UUACGGCCAUAUCACAUUGAAACACCGGUUCUCGUACGAUCACCGAAGUUAAGCAACAUCGAACCUGGUCAGUACUAAGAUAAGUAACUGCUUGAGAAUUCCAGCUGCUGUAAG
This is a non-coding RNA of Acanthosepion pharaonis, 114 nucleotides long. The record is from the annotation of a GenBank genome assembly. Lineage: Eukaryota; Metazoa; Mollusca; Cephalopoda; Sepiida; Sepiidae.